AGAGUUUGAUCAUGGCUCAGGACGAACGCUGGCGGCGUGCUUAACACAUGCAAGUCGAACGGAAAGGCCCUUCGGGGUACUCGAGUGGCGAACGGGUGAGUAACACGUGGGUGAUCUGCCCUGCACUCUGGGAUAAGCCUGGGAAACUGGGUCUAAUACCGGAUAGGACCGCAUGCUUCAUGGUGUGUGGUGCAAAGCUUUUGCGGUGUGGGAUGAGCCCGCGGCCUAUCAGCUUGUUGGUGGGGUAAUGGCCUACCAAGGCGACGACGGGUAGCCGGCCUGAGAGGGUGACCGGCCACACUGGGACUGAGAUACGGCCCAGACUCCUACGGGAGGCAGCAGUGGGGAAUAUUGCACAAUGGGCGCAAGCCUGAUGCAGCGACGCCGCGUGAGGGAUGACGGCCUUCGGGUUGUAAACCUCUUUCAGUAGGGACGAAGCGAAAGUGACGGUACCUACAGAAGAAGGACCGGCCAACUACGUGCCAGCAGCCGCGGUAAUACGUAGGGUCCGAGCGUUGUCCGGAAUUACUGGACGUAAAGAGCUCGUAGGUGGUUUGUCGCGUUGUUCGUGAAAACUCACAGCUUAACUGUGGGCGUGCGGGCGAUACGGGCAGACUAGAGUACUGCAGGGGAGACUGGAAUUCCUGGUGUAGCGGUGGAAUGCGCAGAUAUCAGGAGGAACACCGGUGGCGAAGGCGGGUCUCUGGGCAGUAACUGACGCUGAGGAGCGAAAGCGUGGGCAGCGAACAGGAUUAGAUACCCCGGUAGUCCAA
This 773-nucleotide ribosomal RNA is filed under the name uncultured bacterium. Its description in RNAcentral is "bacterial SSU rRNA". It matches the Rfam family "Bacterial small subunit ribosomal RNA", at positions 8 to 798 of the family's 1533-position model. The record is from RNAcentral.